GACGAACGCUGGCGGCGUGCUUAACACAUGCAAGUCGAACGGAAAGGCCCCUUUGGGCGUCCUCGAGUGGCGAACGGGUGAGUAACACGUGCGUAACCUGCCCUUGACUUCGGGAUCACCUCCGCAAACUGGGGCUACUACCGGAUAGACAUCCUUGCUGCAUCGUGGGGGUUGGAAAGCUUCGGCGGUUUUGGAUGGACUCGCGGCUUAUCAGCUUGUUGGUGGGGUAGUGGCUUACCAAGGCUUUGACGGGUAGCCGGCCUGGGAGGGCGACCGGCCACAUUGGGACUGAGAGACGGCCCAGACUCCUACGGGAGGCAGCAGUGGGGAAUAUUGCACAAUGGGCGGAAGCCUGAUGCAGCAACGCCGCGUGCGGGAUGACGGCCUUCGGGUUGUAAACCGCUUUCAGCAGGGGCGAAGCUUGUGGUGACGGUACCUGCAGAAGAAGCACCGGCUAACUACGUG
Molecule: ribosomal RNA, 465 nt
Filed under: uncultured bacterium
Lineage: Bacteria
Description: partial 16S ribosomal RNA
Rfam family: Bacterial small subunit ribosomal RNA
Source: RNAcentral